This 71-nucleotide transfer RNA is filed under the name Camelus bactrianus (Bactrian camel). It matches the Rfam family "tRNA". From Rfam's summary of the family: Transfer RNA (tRNA) molecules are approximately 80 nucleotides in length. Lineage: Eukaryota; Metazoa; Chordata; Mammalia; Artiodactyla; Camelidae. RNAcentral also lists the same sequence under 2 other names. The record is from Rfam by way of RNAcentral.
GAGGAUAUAGCUCAGUGGUAGAGCACGUGGUCAGCCUGAAUGAGGUCCUGGGUUCAAUCCCCAGAACCUCU